Long non-coding RNA from Vigna unguiculata (cowpea), 757 nucleotides. Lineage: Eukaryota; Viridiplantae; Streptophyta; Magnoliopsida; Fabales; Fabaceae. The record is from RefSeq and is a predicted model, not a curated record.
UCUGUUUUCCUGAUGCAUUAUUAAAGAAGUCAGUUUAUCUGUUUACAUUUAUUAUGCAGGUGCUAUUGUCAUGCAGGAGAUAUUGACCUUGCUCUUCAAACUUUUGAGACUCACAUAAACGAGGGAAGGCCUAUUGCUGCAGAACUUUUUGUGACCCUUGCAGAAGGGGCAAUGACUGGGUACACUGAGAAAGGAAUGCAAAUUGCUCAAGAUAUUCUGGUAAGGAUGAACGAAAGAAAUUAUUUUGUGAAUAGCAAAUUGGGAAGUGAGCUCCUGCUUGUAGCUGCUGGAGAAAAGACCGGGGAUAUACCACUGCUAACUACAUAUGGGACAUGAUGCGAGUUCGGAAAAUUAACCCUUCAUUUCCUGCAGUAGAAGCAUAUUACCAAGGCUUAAAAGAUCGAGAGAUACCUGAAGAUGAUCCAAGACUUCUUAUGGUUUCUAAAACAUAUGACAGAAUGAAUAGAUUCGGGAACAGACCAACUUAAAGUCAUACUACUGAAGUCAUCAGAAUUAUUUGUUUGAUUCAUGUAUGGCAUGGUACGUAGAUCCCAUUGUACUUUAGGAGAUUAUGUAGAGCACUUUUUACCAUUUUCCAACAUUUGAUAGAUCAAGGUUUUCUUUUUUGAAAUAAUUAUUUCUUUGUAAUACGAGGUACCAUUGAUGUUAAGUUAUUAUUUCAAUGUCAAUGUCAAUGUCAUUGCAGACUCUAAAGUUGGCUAUAAAUUGUAAUUUACAUUGAUAAUUGUUUGCUUCA